AUUGAACGCUGGCGGCAGGCUUAACACAUGCAAGUCGAGCGAGCGGCGGACGGGUGAGUAAUGUCUGGGAAACUGCCUGAUGGAGGGGGAUCACUACUGGAAACGGUAGCUAAUACCGCAUACCAUCAGAUGUGCCCAGAUGGGAUUAGGUAGUUGGUGGGGUAAUGGCUCACCUGGGCGACGAUCCCUAGCUGGUCUGAGAGGAUGACCAGCCACACUGGGACUGAGACACGGUCCAGACUCCUACGGGAGGCAGCAGUGGGGAAUAUUGCACAAUGGGCGCAAGCCUGAUGCAGCCAUGCCGCGUGUAUGAAGAAGGCCUGCGGGUUGUAAAGUACUUUCAGUGAGGAGGCGUUACUCACAGAAGAAGCACCGGCUAACUCCGUGCCAGCAGCCGCGGUAAUUC
Molecule: ribosomal RNA, 406 nt
Filed under: uncultured bacterium
Lineage: Bacteria
Description: partial 16S ribosomal RNA
Rfam family: Bacterial small subunit ribosomal RNA
Source: RNAcentral